Molecule: ribosomal RNA, 589 nt
Filed under: uncultured bacterium
Lineage: Bacteria
Description: bacterial SSU rRNA
Rfam family: Bacterial small subunit ribosomal RNA
Source: RNAcentral
CCUACGGGAGGCAGCAGUGGGGAAUAUUGCGCAAUGGGGGAAACCCUGACGCAGCAACGCCGCGUGAGUGAGGAAGGACUUCGGUCUGUAAAGCUCUGUUAAUGAGGAAAAAUGGUAGUUGGUCUAAUAGGCCGAUUAUUUGAUGGUACUCAUAGAGGAAGCACCGGCUAACUUCGUGCCAGCAGCCGCGGUAAUACGAAGGGUGCAAGCGUUGUUCGGAUUUAUUGGGCGUAAAGCGCGCGUAGGCGGACCUGCAAGUAAGAUGUGAAAUCUCGAGGCUCAACCUCGAAACUGCGUCUUAAACUACAGGUCUAGAAUCUCGGAGGGGGAAGGGGAAUUUCGCAUGUAGGGGGUAAAAUCUGUAGAUAUGCGAAGGAACACCAGAGGCGAAGGCGCCUUCCUGGACGAGUAUUGACGCUGAGGCGCGAAAGCGUGGGGAUCAAACAGGAUUAGAUACCCUGGUAGUCCACGCUGUAAACGAUGAACACUAGGUAUUGGAGGAUUUGACCCCUUCAGUGCCGUAGCUAACGCGUUAAGUGUUCCGCCUGGGAAGUACGGUCGCAAGACUAAAACUCAAAGGAAUUGACGG